GCGUACGUAGGUUGUUUACCGCAUCUCCUGUUAAAUCAUUCCGCACAACGGAGUGGCUGCGGGAGAGAUGGAUAAACUAGAGAUCGGGAGAGGCAAGCGGAAUUGCUGGUGUAGGGGUUAAAUCCGUUAAUAUCAGCAGGAACACCAAAUGUGAAGACAGCUUGCUAGAACGAUUCUGACACUAAGGUACGAAAGCGUGGGGAGCGGAUGGGAUUAGAUACCCCAGUAGUCCACGCCGUAAACGAUGGAUGCUAAGCAUUGGAAGUAUCGACCCUUUCAGUGCUGUCUACCUAAGUUAACACCUUAAGCAUCCCGCCUGGGGAGUACGAGCGCAAGCUUAAAACUCAAAGGAAUAGACGGGGACCCGCACAAGCGGUGGAGCAUGUGGUUCAAUUCGACGAUAAGCGAGGAACCUUACCAAGGUUUGACAUCCAGCUGCAGACUCCGGGAAACCGGAGAGCCUUAGAGGGUGCUGGACAGAUGCUGCAUGGUUGUCGUCAGCUCGUGUCGUGAGAUGUACCGUUAAGUCGGGAAACGAGCGCAACCCCUAUUCUAUGUUUUAUAUGUCAUAGAAGACUGCCCGCUUUAAGUGGGAGGAAGGCGGGGAUGACGUCAAAUCAGCAUGGUUCUUACACCUUGGGCGACACACGUGCUACAAUGGGAAGUACAGAGGGACGCCAAAUCGCAAGAUGGAGCUAAU
This 700-nucleotide ribosomal RNA is filed under the name uncultured bacterium. Its description in RNAcentral is "bacterial SSU rRNA". It matches the Rfam family "Bacterial small subunit ribosomal RNA", at positions 565 to 1272 of the family's 1533-position model. The record is from RNAcentral.